CACAAUGGGGGAAACCCUGAUGCAGCCAUGCCGCGUGUAUGAAGAAGCCUUCGGGUUGUAAAGUACUUUCAGUAGGGAGGAAGGCAGUGUCGUUAAUAGCGGCAUUGUUUGACGUUACCUACAGAAGAAGCCCCGGCUAACUCCGUGCCAGCAGCCGCGGUAAUACGGAGGGUGCGAGCGUUAAUCGGAAUUACUGGGCGUAAAGCGCAUGCAGGCGGUCUGUUAAGCAAGAUGUGAAAGCCCGGGGCUCAACCUCGGAACAGCAUUUUGAACUGGCAGACUAGAGUCUUGUAGAGGGGGGUAGAAUUUCAGGUGUAGCGGUGAAAUGCGUAGAGAUCUGAAGGAAUACCGGUGGCGAAGGCGGCCCCCUGGACAAAGACUGACGCUCAGAUGCGAAAGCGUGGGGAGCAAACAGGAUUAGAUACCCUGGUAGUCCACGCCGUAAACGAUGUCUACUUGGAGGUUGUGGCCUUGAGCCGUGGCUUUCGGAGCUAACGCGUUAAGUAGACCGCCUGGGGAGUACGGUCGCAAGAUUAAAACUCAAAUGAAUUGACGGGGGCCCGCACAAGCGGUGGAGCAUGUGGUUUAAUUCGAUGCAACGCGAAGAACCUUACCUACUCUUGACAUCCAGAGAACUUUCCAGAGAUGGAUUGGUGCCUUCGGGAACUC
This 669-nucleotide ribosomal RNA is filed under the name Photobacterium sp. RNAcentral's name for it is "bacterial SSU rRNA". It matches the Rfam family "Bacterial small subunit ribosomal RNA", at positions 367 to 1029 of the family's 1533-position model. Lineage: Bacteria; Pseudomonadati; Pseudomonadota; Gammaproteobacteria; Vibrionales; Vibrionaceae. The record is from RNAcentral.